Molecule: small nucleolar RNA, 72 nt
Organism: Molossus molossus (Pallas's mastiff bat)
Lineage: Eukaryota; Metazoa; Chordata; Mammalia; Chiroptera; Molossidae
Product: small nucleolar RNA SNORD5
Exons: 1
Source: RefSeq, a predicted model, not a curated record
GUUCCGAUCAUAAAUUUAACGGUUCAACUGCUGAAUGAUACAGACAUGGACUAAAAUGAAACUCUGACAGCU